Molecule: ribosomal RNA, 221 nt
Filed under: uncultured bacterium
Lineage: Bacteria
Description: partial 16S ribosomal RNA
Rfam family: Bacterial small subunit ribosomal RNA
Source: RNAcentral
CGACGUGGGUACCGUGCCUUGUACUGGGGGAUAGCAGCUGGAAACGGGUGGUAAUACCGCAUAAGCGCACAAUGUUGCAUGACAUGGUGUGAAAAACUCCGGUGGUAUAAGAUGGACCCGCGUCUGAUUAGCUAGUUGGUGAGAUAACAGCCCACCAAGGCGACGAUCAGUAGCCGACCUGAGAGGGUGACCGGCCACAUUGGGACUGAGACACGGCCCAG